RNAcentral lists this ribosomal RNA (253 nucleotides) under uncultured bacterium. Its description in RNAcentral is "partial 16S ribosomal RNA". It matches the Rfam family "Bacterial small subunit ribosomal RNA", at positions 524 to 776 of the family's 1533-position model. The record is from RNAcentral.
UACGAAGGGGGCUAGCGUUGCUCAGAAUCACUGGGCGUAAAGCGCACGUAGGCGGAUUGCUAAGUCAGGGGUGAAAUCCUGGAGCUCAACUCCAGAACUGCCUUUGAUACUGGCGACCUUGAGUCCGGGAGAGGUGAGUGGAACUGCGAGUGUAGAGGUGAAAUUCGUAGAUAUUCGCAAGAACACCAGUGGCGAAGGCGGCUCACUGGCCCGGUACUGACGCUGAGGUGCGAAAGCGUGGGGAGCAAACAGG